GGGGAGACUUGUUGCAAUGACUAAUAAUCCUCGAUGUUUCCAGAGUUCAAAGGAACCAUCUUUUUCUCAACAUUCCACAGAACAUCAGACGGGCCUAUUAUACUGAUAGCAUCAUAAUAACAAUUCAAAUGAGCAGGAAAUGGCAAGAACUCAGAAGUCCUGGUAAGAUGUGUGCAUCAGGGGUUGGAGAUAAGCCCUACAAAGACUCAGAGGCCUGCCACAUCAGAAAAGUUUUUAAAGGUCCAGUGGUAUGGGGCAUAUUGAGAUAUUUCUUCCAAGAUAAAGAAGAAAUCGUUAAACCUUGAACAUUCCAUCUUUAAGGUAGCAGCUUCGUAUUUGGUACCUUAAGACCUGGCAGAUUCCAGGAUGCUAGCAAUAUCUGAGAUAGAUGACAAUGUUUUGAGGAGUCUUGGUGAGAUUAAGCAGGGGAGUUACAGAACAAAACCCUAGGAUUGUAGAGUAAGACUGAACUAUCUACAGAAAAAAAAAAAACCUCACCAUUCAAAAGCCAGGUUUAGGCAUGCUAUUGGGCUGUAGUAGGGACUAGUCACCUGAACAUGGGAUAUCAAGGAACAAUGAGACUAGAGCUGUCCAUCAUGGUCUGGGUAUGUUUAGACCUGCCAAGUCAUAAGUUGUGUGGACACUGGAGAAUUCCACCAUUUAAUGAAAACGGCACAUUCAAGAUCAGUCCCUAGCAGGCCUAAAGGACACGAACAGGUGACCCAGAUCUCACAUCACCUACUUAUGUUGCACCAAUGUGUUUCCUUCAGCUCCUGGUUGUAGGGAGUUCUCUAUCACUAGCUGAUGGAGAAGGAAAACCUUGGGCCUACUUCACAGAUAAGUCAACUCCAUAUUCUGGUUGAACCCAAAAAUGUACCACUAUCUCCCAGUAGCCUGAUGCAAGAGCAGCCCUGAAAGUCAGCAGUGAAGGGAAAUCUUCCCAUUGGAGGGGGCCUUGAACACUUGAACUGAUCCCCAACCUGAUGUGGUGGGAGAAGGGCCCUGAGGUUAUGACAGUCACAUACACACAAGCAGUAGAGAAUGGCUUAGCUGGUUAUGGUCAAGAGCCUGGAAAGGGCAAGACUGCAAAAUGAGGAAAAAUGGGGUGGAUCAUUCUCAAUGUCCACUAGAGAGCAUUCCCACGGAGCAGGCAUUGAACAACCAAACAGACAGGAUCCUGAGGAUGUCAGCCCACUGCUGCCCUUAACCAUCCCAGUGAAUGA
This 1223-nucleotide long non-coding RNA is filed under the name Pan troglodytes (chimpanzee). Its description in RNAcentral is "long non-coding RNA NONPTRT016599". Lineage: Eukaryota; Metazoa; Chordata; Mammalia; Primates; Hominidae. The record is from RNAcentral.